Long non-coding RNA from Cervus elaphus (red deer), 400 nucleotides. RefSeq lists it as uncharacterized. The record is from RefSeq and is a predicted model, not a curated record. NCBI's taxonomy places the organism in Eukaryota, Metazoa, Chordata, Mammalia, Artiodactyla, Cervidae. The transcript is spliced from 3 exons.
AUCCGGGGAACCUCGAGAACAUCGGGGGCCUCUGACCUGAUCUCGCGGGAGUAGAGAAACGUGAACAGAGGCUGCACACGCGGGCCCAGCCGCGGCGGCGGUGCAAUGGCGCCAGAAACUCUGGAAUUGAGCAGUUUUAACUGUGCCAGACACAGCUUCCAGGCUGGACUGGGCUCCAGGCGAGGAGGCCGCGCCGUCCACACGUAGCACCACGCCCGGUCAGAAGACGCCGAGCAGGAAAAAAAACCAUUACUAUUCUCGGUGCUCACACAGAGGGAGCCAAGGAAAGAGUGUGUGCAUUCCGGAGUUGACCAAGGGGCCUCAUGAGUCUUGAUACGUGUGGCUUCUGACAGACACCAUCUCGGAGUCUGGGCAGUCCUCGAUUGGUUUCUGGGUAGUC